This 971-nucleotide long non-coding RNA is filed under the name Gallus gallus (chicken). The record is from RNAcentral. Lineage: Eukaryota; Metazoa; Chordata; Aves; Galliformes; Phasianidae.
GGAACAUUGUCUGAAACUUUGGAUAGAACGACUGACGAAGGAGCGUGGAGCUCCGAGCAAAGUUCCCCAGCUCGCUCAAAAACAUCUUCGUGGUACUUGCUUCUGAACUUAAAGCAGGGUUGGAACUUGCAAGAAGAUGGAUUUGAGUCAGAAGCUGAACAUGCUGCUGCAUUUGCUGCUGCAGCCUUUUCCUUUGUGCACAGUCCAGAACAAGGCUCUGGAGAGGCUUCUCAUUCUGAGGCUUUGCUUUCUCUGCCUCUUGUGGUGGCUUGAUAGAUGACUUCUUCAUUCUCAACUGCUCAAGUUGCUCCUUCACAGUGCGGUGCUGUUCAUUCAGUAAAUUGGCCAAAGGCUCUUCAAACCUCAGUGCCUGGGGUGUAUUAAAAUUUGGCCGUGACUCUGUAAUGUUAUCUUCAUCUUCUGGGCCUUCAUCUUCCAUGUUUGAGAAGCCCAUCUCAUCCUGAAACGUCUCAAACAGCUCCUCCAUCAGUUCAUUCACUUCCUUUUUGGUAAUUCUCACAGCACGAUCAUUUCUGAAGUCCUCUGUGUCUGGCUCAUCCAGAUCUUCCAGGAAAUUGUACUCAGGGUCAUCAUCAUCAUCUAAUUCAUCUUCAUUCUCCACAUCAUCAUUCAUGAGCCCUCCAAGCCACCUUUUCCAUUCUUCAUCAUCUGCAGUGUUGGGAUCAUACAUAUCAGGUGUGAUAUCCGGGGCUCGGAGCUCAGCCUCCAGCUGACCAAGAGGAACAUCCUUCAGGGGUCGCUUCGAUCGGGUCCUGAAGGCAAUGAGGCUGUCUUCCAGAGGCUGGUAGGAGUCCAUGCAUACCGGGCUGGAAGCCAAUUCUUCAUCCACUGCAUGCAGCUUCUCCAUGAAUGUGCUGUCUUUGCUUUGCUUUGGUUUAGGAGGAGGUGGAGGUCCCAUGGGAACUACUUCAGCGCUAAUGUGUCUAACAACAGGCGUAGGAACCUUCUCC